RNAcentral lists this ribosomal RNA (497 nucleotides) under uncultured bacterium. RNAcentral's name for it is "partial 16S ribosomal RNA". It matches the Rfam family "Bacterial small subunit ribosomal RNA", at positions 28 to 507 of the family's 1533-position model. The record is from RNAcentral.
GAUGAACGCUGGCGGCGUGCCUAAUACAUGCAAGUCGAGCGAACAGAUAAGGAGCUUGCUCGUUUGACGUUAGCGGCGGACGGGUGAGUAACACGUGUGUAACCUACCUAUAAGACUGGGAUAACUUCGGGAAACCGGAGCUAAUACCGGAUAACAUUCUGAACCGCAUGGUUCUAAAGUGAAAGAUGGUUUUGCUAUCACUUAUAGAUGGACACGCGCCGUAUUAGCUAGUUGGUAGGGUAACGGCUUACCAAGGCGACGAUACGUAGCCGACCUCAGAGAGUGAUCGGCCACCUUGGAGCUGAAACACGGUCCAGACGCCUACGGGAGGCAGCAGUCGGGAAUCUGCGGCAAUGGGCGAAAGCCUGACGGAGCAACGCCGCGUGAGUGAUGACGGGGUCCGGCUCGUAAAACUCUGUUAUUAGGGAAGAACAACCGUGUAAGUAACUGUGCCCGGCGUGACGGUACCUAAUCAGAAAGCCACGGCUAACUACGUG